AUUGAACGCUGGCGGCAUGCCUUACACAUGCAAGUCGAACGGUAACAGGUCUUCGGAUGCUGACGAGUGGCGAACGGGUGAGUAAUACAUCGGAACGUGCCCGAUCGUGGGGGAUAACGAAGCGAAAGCUUUGCUAAUACCGCAUACGAUCUACGGAUGAAAGUAGGGGACCGCAAGGCCUUGCGCGAACGGAGCGGCCGAUGGCAGAUUAGGUAGUUGGUGGGAUAAAAGCUUACCAAGCCGACGAUCUGUAGCUGGUCUGAGAGGACGACCAGCCACACUGGGACUGAGACACGGCCCAGACUCCUACGGGAGGCAGCAGUGGGGAAUUUUGGACAAUGGGCGAAAGCCUGAUCCAGCCAUGCCGCGUGCAGGAUGAAGGCCUUCGGGUUGUAAACUGCUUUUGUACGGAACGAAAAGACUCUGGUUAAUACCUGGGGUCCAUGACGGUACCGUAAGAAUAAGCACCGGCUAACUACGUG
RNAcentral lists this ribosomal RNA (482 nucleotides) under uncultured bacterium. RNAcentral's name for it is "partial 16S ribosomal RNA". It matches the Rfam family "Bacterial small subunit ribosomal RNA", at positions 30 to 507 of the family's 1533-position model. The record is from RNAcentral.